This 492-nucleotide ribosomal RNA is filed under the name uncultured bacterium. RNAcentral describes it as "partial 16S ribosomal RNA". It matches the Rfam family "Bacterial small subunit ribosomal RNA", at positions 29 to 507 of the family's 1533-position model. The record is from RNAcentral.
AGUGAACGCUGGCGGUAGGCCUAACACAUGCAAGUCGAACGGCAGCACAGUAAGAGCUUGCUCUUACGGGUGGCGAGUGGCGGACGGGUGAGGAAUACAUCGGAAUCUACUUUUUCGUGGGGGAUAACGUAGGGAAACUUACGCUAAUACCGCAUACGACCUACGGGUGAAAGCAUGGGAUCUUCGGACCUUGCGCGAUUGAAUGAGCCGAUGUCGGAUUAGCUAGUUGGCGGGGUAAAGUCCCACCAAGGCGACGAUCCGUAGCUGGUCUGAGAGGAUGAUCAGCCACAGUGGAACUGAGACACGGUCCAGACUCCGACGGGAGGCAGCAGUGGGGAAUAUUGGACAAUGGGCGCAAGCCUGAUCCAGCCAUACCGCGUGGGUGAAGAAGGCCUUCGGGUUGUAAAGCCCUUUUGUUGGGAAAGAAAAGCAGCAGGUUAAUACCCCGCUGUUCUGACGGUACCCAAAGAAUAAGCACCGGCUAACUUCGUG